This 16213-nucleotide long non-coding RNA is filed under the name Musa acuminata (dwarf banana). Its description in RNAcentral is "long non-coding RNA (MACU_LNC006712)". The record is from RNAcentral. Lineage: Eukaryota; Viridiplantae; Streptophyta; Magnoliopsida; Zingiberales; Musaceae.
GUAUGAAAACAAAAAAGAACUAAAAGAUUAGUCUUACGGAUUGAAAUGGUUGGAUGAUGACACAUCAAUCUGACCCACAAUAAGCACAUUUCCACUUUGUUCACUCCAUUGGUUCAUCAUUCCUCUUGGAGAAAUCAAAUAUGUUCUUUUUAUUAUCUUGGGGAUAAAAAAUUCUAAUAUAAAAAAUAUGUCCGGUAAGAGUAUCCAUGAUGGCCCUCUCAAGAGACCUGGAGAACCAAAGAAACAUUGUGGAGUAAGGCUACUAGCACAGCCGGUUUAACAGAUAGAUAUAACACAGAGAAUAAGAUAUGUUUUUAUUUGCUUUGUGGAUUGAUACACAUAAUGCAAUCAUAUAAAGAGUAUUUCGAACUUGCAACAGUAUGUACAAAACCCUCUUACCUCAAAUAUCAUGCUUUCUAAUUCAAUGGGUUAAAGCCAUUCUACCAACAAAGACUCAUUAAAUAGCACUUACCAAAGAAACAACACAAGUUUUGCAAUAAGAGGAUAAAUUAUAUCCUCAAACACAAUGUGACAUGCUACUCACUUUUCAAAUACUGGUUGGAUCAAUAUGCACCAACCAGUAGUUACCAGAGCAGUGCUAGAUCACAGAACUAGUACCGAUCAGUAUUCAUUAUCUUAGUAUGUUUCUUUCGGUGAUACCGGCCGUACAGAUCAGUAUAGCGCCGAGUACCAUACCAGUCUGGUAGGGGUGAAAAUUGAUACUGAAACAGUAUCUAUAAUCUUGGAUUCUAUGUUACUAAAGAUCUGUGACUUAACCUCCAACGCUCAUACUCAAAAUGCAAAAGAACACUCAAUAAGAGAUACUUAAAUUCAUUAUCGUCUUUAAUAAGCUUACUGAGGGCUACCAGCAUAGCACUUCCAGAACAAUUUUGGUUCACUAUACAAGACUAUAAUGAAUUUAUCUUGAGGCUAUCUAGUCCCCGAAUAAUAUAUGCAUAUUUGUAUAUAUGAGACUAAUUACAUAUUACUUAUAUAAUUAGUUACAUUUAGUAUCUUAAUUCUUAUAUUUUCAAAAGUUACGUUAAGAUCUUUAUACUUACGAAGGUAAAAUAUUUAAAAUUUUUUUUAUAUUUUUAAUCUUAUGAAAUUACUUUUUUAACAGGGAUCUCAAUAACUAAUUACAUGAGAUAAUCUAUAAAUAGCCCAUAUAUAUAUAUAUAUAUAUAUAUAUAUGUAUGUAUGUAUGUGUGUGUGUGUGAUCAAUAAGAUGCAUUCUGAGUUCCCUCAUUUUAAUAUUACUUUCACUCGGACAUUUUCAUUCCAUAUUCUAGAGUGAUCCAAGCUCCAGAUAGCAUAGCUACAAGCAAUCCAACCAUUUAAAUUGACUCCAUCAAUAAUGUUUAUUACUCCAUGAAUGCACCAGACUUUUGCACUUUUUGGACAGCCAAAUUGUUUCUUCUAAUGUCCAUCAAAUUAUCAUUAUGACCCCAUUUUAUAAAAACGAUUACACAGCUCUUUAGAAGGAUGUUCACUUGCUCUUACCCGACCCUACUUCUUAGUGUGCUUUCAAAACUUGCUCUUGAAGCACACGAUAGAAAAGCAUUCUCAUUUUGAAUACCGAAGACUUACUACACAAGUAUAAUCAACCAAAAUUGAACUUGCAUAAUUUGACCACAAAAAAUGCAUGACAACAUAGUUUUCACAAGCAUGAGAACUCAUUAUCUUGUUAAGCAUGACAAAAUUACCAAUGAGGCAAUCACUAUACUAAAGAAUUGUCUGUAUGAGUUAAUGAUUAUGUCUUUAAUCCCUCAAACAACUAGUUCUAAAUGAUGAAAAUGAGAAUUGAAUGCUUGAGAUAGAUACCAAAAAAAAAAACUUACUACAGAUCUAGAACAGAUGUUUUCAGUAGCAAACAAUUAUUUCUGAAAUACCCUGGCCUUUUGAAUUUCUCAAGGUUGAAUGUACAGGAUUAAAAUUGCCACUGUAGCAAGUUACACACUAGAACGAAGUUCUUCUUGCAGGGAUUCACUAACCAUACCGAGAUGAGGCAAUGCCUAUAACUUCAUUUUUGUCCGAAGUUAAGUUCCUAUUCCUCCCUUGUAUAUUGAUAGAUUAUAUACUAAUCGACACAUCGUCAAGCGACGAUCGCUUGGUUUAUACAAUGAUCACUCGAUCCCAUCAUCACGUUAUCAACUAUAACCAUGGUUCAUAAGAUCACACAACAACGAUCAUGUUUAGCAAACACCCAGCAGCCAAUCUCAAUAGCAUGUUUAGUUCAGCCAGGUCCAAUGAUGAGAUAAGCACCUUCAAGGGUAUAAACCAGACAUGGUCGUCACUUAAUCGAGUUAAAUCAAAUUUCAACUGGGUUCCAGCCAAUGGCCAAUUCCUGCUACCUUUUGGUUGCUUCGAUCACAUUCUAUACAUAUUCUAGAUAAUUCAGAAGGUUUAGCAUGCCACAUCUGAGUGACACCCUGUUGAUUUCGGUUGAUCCCAAUCGGUCCUCAUCAAAUCCAACAAAAUUUUGAUUAAUCCUGCGAACUUAACUAUCAACUUGGUCUCCGAGUCGCAUUACAGAAGCCCUAAACAAGUCAUUUGUAUUCAUUUAAUUCAUUUAGACGCAUUUCCUAAACAACAUUUCCAACAUCCAAAGCUACAAGAAACCAUACUCCCUAAUCUAUUUAACGUAAUGCAAAUCAACAAUAUAAAUUGCAUAAAAGAGCCACAAACUUACCAUAAAGUUCGUCAGGCAAAUCUUGCCAGCAUCGGCUACCGACCGCUGAUCCUCCUCCUUGACCACGAUGUCCUCUUCCUCGUCCUCAUCAGAAGAGCCCUGGCGAGCCUGGUCUCCCUCUCCUCGUACUCUUCAUGUCCUCCACCACCUCCGGCUUGCUCCGGCUCCGAGCGCCUGCCUUCCCGAAAAGAACCUCGUCCCAGAUCGACCUCUUGGGGUCGAUCGGAGCCUGCGUGGAAGGGAGAAGGCGGAUCUGUUGAAGUCGGCGAAGGAUUGAGAGAGGCAGGAGUGGUAUAGACCAGAGGCAAGGAUCUUAGAAGUUGAGAGAGAGAGAGAGAGAGAGAGAGAGAGAGAGAGAGAGAGAGAUGGCUCUUAUCGUCUCAGACCACGGUUUUAAAACGGCCUUCACUUUCCCUCCUCUUCUUAGGAUGUGUUUCCGUUUCAGACCACGGUUUUAAAACGGCCUUCACUUUCCCGCCUCUUCUUCCUCCCGUUGAACCGGUUCGAUCAAACAACAAUGAUCGAGCUAUUUAUCGGUUCGAACUGAUUUAAAUUAAUAUUAUAAUAUUAAUUAAAUCAAAUAAUAUUUAAAUCAAUAUAUUAUUAUUAUUAUUAUUAUUAUUAUUAUUAUGAAAUGUAUCGAUGAAAUUAAAGUAUCAUGACGAGGAUGUAGUUCUUCCUUAAAUUGACUAUAUCAAGAUAAUAUAAUAAUAAUAAUAAUAAGAUUAUGAAAUUGAUUAAUAAUAUUUGUUAAUAAUUAUCUAAAUUUUUAAUAUAUAAAGAAAUAAACUUUAAGUGAAGCAAAAUACUGGUUACGAUAAGCUACAUGAUUAAAACCCAUAGUUAUUAUUGUUGAAAAGAAUAGAAGAUAAAAAGAAUUAUUGAAGAAGUUUUAUCGAAGAAACUUGAAUGCAUUAACAUGUCCUCUCCUAUUUAUAUAGAUUAGGAGGAAAGAUUUACCUCAAUAGAAUAGAGAUAUUUUUUCAUAUAAUUAGAGAAAUUUUAUAUGUUAUUAAUUAUUAAUCAAAAUCGAUGGAAAGGUGGUGAUGUAUCAAAUGAAUUUAUCAAUAAUAUCAAAUGAUCCCAAACUCUAUUGAGCAAAUUUUACACUCGUAAUAUCAAUUUGACUGUGGUAUAUCAAAUUCAUUUUCUAAGUGUCUAGUGAUAAUGUAUCAAAUAUGCUCCUCAAUAAUGGAAGGUUUGGAAGUUUACACUUAAAGUACUCAUUAGUACUUACGUACGAGACUAAAUGUUGAAUGUUCAAAAUAAUUCAUCAUGUGACGACAUGACUUGUAUUUUGUCAACAGAAACUCAACAUGUCAAAUUCAGUCGAAAUGUUGUAUAAAAUCCCGACGUGAUCUCUUGUGAUUAGCUACGAUAAAUUAUGAAAUAGUGAAAAUCACAUAGAAUGAUAUAAAUUAAUAAUAGGAAAUAGAGAGAUAUAAGAAGUUUUUACUACAAACUUUAAAUAUAUUUUUUAGAAAAUAUUAACUAUAAAUAUUGCAUACCCAAUAACAAAAAUAAUUAUGUAGCUGCUCGCUGGAUGCCGUGCAGGAGAUCGGACAAACGGGUGUGUGCUGUCCACUGCCCUGCACGAACUUUUCACCACUUCAAAAGAUGACACGCCCACUGAUUGCAAGGAGAGAGAAGGUCAGAUGGGACCAAUUACUUCCCACUCUGGUAGACCCCAUCGCAUCAUGCGGUCUUUCAAUUCGGUAGGUAAGUGUCCACUGCUUUUCCUUGCUUCCUCCUCCAGGAAUCAAUCAUUCCCCUCACCUCAAGCACAACACACAUCUUCUAAUGGCGAAGAGAUUCUAAUUCUAAGUUCGACACACUCCUGCUACUUCCACAAGGAUAGAGCAAAUCUUCUAAAGCUAGAUUAUGUCUCGCCAAUGAUCCGCUAACGAGUCAACCGAGCAGAGCAGAGCAGAGCAGAGCAGCGGAGAGGAGAUGAUGAUGAUGAUUACUGCUGGGAACAGCAGUGGACAAAGGAAGGAAGAAAAGAAGGCACCAUCGUGACCCACCUACUCGUUUUAACUUUUGCCCACAGUUUGGGGGGUCUAAUAAUUAAAGGAAUCUUAGUACCUCUGCUUCCUCCUUAACGGAGACAAUGCAUGUAGUGCCGCUGCGCGAUCCAAAGCAGAGGAGGGCACGUAGAUCCAGCUUGUGACUCGGGACCCCUCUCGCCUCCGCCGCUCACGCUAGUUACAGUCGUGAGACCGAUCCCGUGUGUUGGCGAAGCAGGUCGAGAUCGACGGGAGCAGUGAGUGGAUCGAGAAGGUGCAGACAACGCACCUUUUACCCGCUCUAGCAUUUUCCAGAACAGGUGGACGGCAUUCGGUAGCCCCACUGACCCACACCAAUCCUUUCUGCUGCUCCUCCAAAAAUGAUUGCUCUCGUCGUCUCCGCAUCCGUAAAACAUCGACAGCUAAUGACUCGGAUGCCAUGUACUGAUGGAAAUGUAUCGUUUGCUUCCCCUGAUGAUGAUGAUGAUGAUGAGCCAGCAAACCUUCCUGCACAACUCUCCCGGUGCUAAUCACUGGGAUGAAACUACUAUUAAGCCUUUCGGAAGCUUUUCUUCGGAAAUGGAGGCUUCCGAUCACAAGUGCUGUGCAUGAAACAUCGUUUGCGAGCAAAUCCUGUUGCCCUGUGCGCUCAGCAGUCCGCAGCUUGUUGUUGUUGGUGUGCUGCCACACCUCUUUUGCCUUGGCUGCGAGGUGGUGGCCACUGAGUUCCGUUUCGUAUCGCAGAAGAUGACCACAUUCCCCAAUCAGAUACUCGGUUGAUGUGUACUCUCACGUCGACUACAAACCACCCGCCCAUGUCCAAGAAUCCAAAAGCUCCCCAUCCCUCUCAUCCUACUCUUCCCCAAUCCCCUUCGUUGCUUCCACUCCACCAACCUGUUCCUGCGGUGCACCACACGCUGCCCUUCCCCUUUAAAGCCCUCGCAGCGCCACCGCCACGCAGGAAAGGAGAGCAUAUCAACGGUAGUAGCGGCAGCGGCGACGACAGUGACAUGGCUGGUCUAAGCGUUCUCUUGGAAACACACAACAGCUUGCCAAAAUACACUCACAUCAUAAGCAAAACCUCCCUCGUUAAGAACUCUUCUCUCUCUUCUCCUCCUUCCUCCUUCGCCACCAGCCCUUUCCUGGAACGCUGCUACCUUUGCCGGAAGAAGCUGCAACAGGGCAAUGAUAUCUACAUGUACAGGUGAGUCACAGAACCUUUGGCUUCCGCUCAUUCUCAUCUCUUCCCGGUUUGCUCGCUCUCCAAGUUUCGGUCGGGUGGGUUUUCGCCCUGCAGGGGGGACCGAGCGUUCUGCAGCGUGGAGUGCCGCUGCCGCCAGAUAUUUAUGGACGAGGAGAGCGGGCGGAGGGACCAAUGCUCCCUCGCCGCCGCGGCUGCCUCGGCGGCUGACGCCGGAGCCCAGUCGGACCGCGGCCGGCCGGGGAGGGCGACCCGAAAAGGGCGGGCCGUGGCCGGUGGUUUCGCCUAGUGUCGUUACUGCUUUGGCCAAGCACCUGGUUUUGGUGUAUUGACCAAAAUACCCUCGCCUUGCUAUUUUCCCCCUCUUCAUUCCAUUCUGAAGGGAAUGGGUUUGCGGGAGCCUCAUGUACUCUGUUCCUUCUCGGAUUACAUUGUUUUGUUCUUACUUCGAUAAAUAAACAUAUUAUAUAUAUAUAUAUAUAUAUAUAUAUGUAUGUAUAUAUAUUAGGCUAUAAAAAAUAUAAAUGCACAUUCACAGACACACUCCAUUAAUGCACUCUUUCUCUGUUUGCAUACUCCAUUUUGUUUUAGUUCGGAACCACUUUUCUGCAACGUUGGAGAAGAACUUUUCUUUCUUUCUUUGGUUUUACCUUUUUCUAAAGAAGAUGCCUCAAGAACAUGUCAAAAGGAAGUCUCAGAAUCGAGUCUCCCCAUACCAAAUCAGAGAAGUGCUGCAGAGAUCAAUGUGUUAGAGAACAGAGUGGUUUCCAGGAACAAAGCAGAAGCUUAACAUUUGUGUUCUCUUCCUCAGUUUAUGAUCGCUGGAUAGAUGUCUGAUGGAGACAUCAUUGGGUCCCGACUUUAUACAAAGCACCAAAAGCUGACUCAGAUGAUCAUGUGAAAACUAUAUGUGUUUGGCACGCAAGUUACUGAUGAUUGAAUGUUUGAUUGUACUGCUCGCUUCGAUGAGACCAUACUAAUCCGAUGGUGGGUGAAGAAGAAGCCCACCACCACCAUAUGCUUGAUUUGAUCUUGCGGCACUCACCAUUACCCACUGCCAAGGAGGUGAUGACGUGUGUAAUAGAAAUAGGUUUUCAAAUAUUUUAUUUUAUUUUAUCGUGAUUUUAAAUCGAAUUUUAUCAAAAAAAUAUAUAUUUUUUAUUUACUUUAAAUUUUUAUUUUUAAUAUUAGUAAAUUAUUUUUUGGUCUCCCUCUUUUAAUUACUAUUCAUUCACACCUUACUAAUUAUCUUAUAUUUUAUGAAAUAUAUCAAUUUAUUCUUUUUUAUAAAAAAAAUAUAUAUUUAAUAGUAAUUUCAUCCAUUCAUUUUAAUAAUAUAAUUUCGAAGAUAAGCCAGAAUUUAAUAUUAUAAUUCACUAUUUACCCUUUACAAAUUAAAAAAAAUAAUGGUGCGAAUAUCCGAUGAUCCAAAAAAUAUUAUUGGCUUAAUAAUUUUUUUAUAUCUCAUAUUUAAAUAAUUUCACUAUUACUAAUUUUCUUAUAUUUCCAAACAUUUUACUUGUUGAAAAAUCCCCACAAAAUUGUUCUGCGAUCAUCACAACCGUCGAUGGGUGCUGAUGGCGGGACCCAGACAUCCGCCAAUAGUUGACGGCCACCUGUACCCGUUACACGAGGAGGACACUCAAGUAGCGGCCGAUUUCUUACCCUUAAAUAAAGCAUGCAUGAAUGGGAGGGAAAGACCGCCCCGCACCCUAAACCCUGCUUUCGCUGGGAGAGGGUUUCGGAGCCGUCACGGCGAAAAGGUUCUACUUCCCUUGCUCGCCGCCGCUCCUUCUUCUGUAAGACUUGCCUCUUCUCGGGGUUCUUGGUGGGGGAAGAAGACUUCUUGGUGGUCGACAGCCAUGGCGAGGCUUCUUCGGUCCGCUUCUUUAAAGCGAGCCUUCUUUAGCUCAGAGGUUCUGUUCUUCACUCAAAAAUCUUCUGUUUCCAUUCUUCUGCAAUGCGUCCACUAAGAUCGAUUUCUUUACACCAAGAAACCCUUGUCGAACGUGAUUUGUGGUAGUCAUUUUCAUUAAUAUACGCAUGAAAGAGGAAGGAGGGAAAAAUGCCCCAAACCCUAAACCCUUCUUUGUCGGAGAGGGUUCUCGAUUCCCUAAUGGCCGCCAUGGCAAGACACGUGUGAGGUUUCCCUUGGUAUCGAAGCCGAAUGAGAGUUCUUGGUGGUCGACGGUCUCGGGUGUGCUUUCUUUAAGUGAGCCGUCUUUGCUUCAGAGGUUCUAUUCUCUACCUAAAUCAUUUGUUUUCAUCGUUAUGCUGUGCUAUCAGGUUACUAAGACCGAUUUCUUUACACCAAGAAAGCCUCUCUUGAACGUAAAAUCGUGUCGUGCACCCCAAAUCCUAAACCCUUUUCUGUAAGAGAAGGUUUUGGAAUCCAUAAUGAUCACCACGGCAACAAACAUGUGACGUUUCCAUACCUUCGUCGCCUAUUCUCCUUUGUCUAAGGCAUCCCCCUUAUCAGUGUCUUCAGCCAUGGCGGCGUUUUUCUAGUGCGCUUCUCUUUGCCUCGUAGGUUGUAUUAUCGACUUAAAUCAUUUGUUUCAAUCGUUCUGUGGUUCCAUCAGGUUACAAAGAUGGAAUUCUUGAAACUAAGAAGCCUUUGUUGGACGAAAAAUCAAGUCCUUCUUAGUGUUUUGUGGUCUAUUUCAAGCACUUAAAUCAUUUUUCUACUGAUGAUCAAAGGUAUAAUACAGUAAAGUUAAUGAUAGUAAGGAAAGGGUUUUCUGGUUUCCAUUUAGCAUUUCUUUCUUCAUGAUUCUGCAACCGUAAUAACCAGGUUUUAGUUUCAAUAUGAUCAAUCAAAAGAAGAUUUCAGUCGUCACAGUUUGGACUAUUUUGUUGCUUGCUGUCACAUUGCUAAUUGUUUUGUUGCAAAUGUUUCCGCUUGCAGAAAUAUGGGCCAGAAAUCAGGGGAGCUAAUAUCCAAUUCUACAACUUUUCUAGUAAAGGUAACAGGAGUACAUGAUUCAUGUAUACAUGGUUAUGGUGUUCUUACACUUCCAGCAUCUUUCUUUUCUUUCUUUUUAUUUCUGUCGAUUCGUUAUAUAGUCAAAUGGAAGACCUGGUAUAUAUGCAGAGAAGCUAACAACACUUCAACUGUAAAGCAAUAUGGAAAAUGUUUAUUAACAGAUUAUGCUAGGUUAUACAGUAACUAUUUCUUGGUCAGUUUAUUUUCUCUGAUCUAUAUUCUGAUAAUCCUGAAAUAAAAGAUGUGUUUAGGUGGAUUAUUAGGUAUAUGUUAUGAUUGACACCUGUUCUAAAUCUCAAAAUUUCCCUAAGUUCUGUUCUUUUUGAUGGUUCGAGUUAUGCACACAUGCUUGGGAUUUUCUUCAGCCAUGUCCAUGUACUAGGCUAUAUUGAUCAGUGCCAUUUUGGUUGAUCUGAACCUGAACUGCAAAGUGUGUUAUUGUAGGAAAAAGUAAAUCGAAGCCAGUUGGAACUGAAACUGGUGAAAAUAACCUGUCGAAGAAAGAUCUGGCUUUACAGCAAGCCUUGGACCAGAUUUUAACUUCGUAUGGAAAAGGCUCGAUCAUGUGGCUUGGCCGUUCUGCUGUUCCUAAAGAAGUUCCUGUUGUGUCUACAGGAUCUUUUACAUUGGAUAUGGCAUUGGGAAUUGGAGGUCUUCCGAAGGUACCCACUUAUAUUUGUCAAGUCUGCUAAAUAUUUGUACCGUUGGAUGAGUUCUUUAACAAAUUGACUAGUUCUUAGACUUCGUUAGUAGUCGCAGUUAAAGUAAUAGUUCUGAAACAUUAUAUUUUAUAUAGUAAUAUAUAUUCUCUUGAUGGUAGUUUUAGUUCUGUGCUUAUUCUUAGAUUAAGUAGCUUAUUAAUUCUCUCACAUUUUUUGUUUUCCUUCAUAUGUAGUUCAAUAUGAGUCUCUGAAUUGAGCUUAAUUUUUCAUAAUUAUUUGGAUGAUGAUAACAUAGAAGAACAUGUUGUCCCAGCUACUGAGGCAUUUGGCUGUUUGUAGAUAUCUUGGACACUCCCACCAUGUAAGUGAGGACAAUUUGUCAAUCCAAAUAGUGAAACAUUAUGCUCAUUUAUAGUCUUGAAUACUUGCAUUAACAGCUUGACAAAUCAUUAGCACAAUCUUAACAAACUCAGAACACCAUGAACCCUGUUAAAAUCACCAGCUAAAUUCUGUUUCAUCUCAACUUCGUCUUGCACAAAUGAGUUAUCCGAACAACAUCUGUGAGAAGCUCACACCUAAGUGAAGGCUUCUACAAGGUUGUUGAAGUGGUUUGAACAGCUUGUUUUCCUUCCAAGUCAUCGAAGCCAGGUGUGGUGUUUAUUAUAUUCUUCCCUCUCAUCUUCAAUGCUGGGGAAUCAAAUGCUUUUGACCCUUGAUGAAGCUUUAUUCUUGGUAUCAUGAUGCUGGAGUUCAUCAGAGUGACAACCACUAUGUGUGAAAUUUAGAACAUGGAGGAUUAGCAAUGAUUUACUUUGAUGUCGCUCCUGGGCAAGUCAAUUCUCUGUUCUCCCAUAGAAUUACUUUGUUUUUACUAUAGUUAUCCCGUCAUGCGUUGGCUGAUUCAUCAUAAUUUAUGGCAUGCAACCUUGUCUAUAUAAUUGCAAUUAUCCUCUAGUGUAACCUUAUCUAAGUAUUCUUCCCUCUCAUCUAUGUAGAGGAAUCAAAUGCUUUUGAUCCUUGAUGGAGCUUGGAGCUCCCAUCAUUUUGAAUCUAUUUUAGGCAGAGAUAUAAAAGGCCCAUGUUGGUUCUUAUAAUUCAAAAAACAAAAUGAUCAAUCUGAUCUCAGGAAUUUGCCAGGCAAUAGAUAUGCACUUUCUUCUUUACUGCCUGAAAUUGGUUUUCCUAUUUAAUGGGAUCUAUACCAUAUGCAAUGUCGAAAAAGCAGACACUUGAUUAUGUGGUUAUGCAGACAUUUUGGAUGAAUGAUAAUAUUUCUGUCGGUUUAUUGAAAUAAGCUUCCAUUAUAUGGUCAAAAGUGACCCCUGAACAUGUGAUGGGGGACGAGUGUUAUUUUUUCAGAGGUAUAAUUCUCAUUGUGCUGUUGACGUGUGCUCAAUUUUGUCACACUUUUCUUUUCUUCAUAAAAAAAACCCAUUAAUUUGCUUUCAUCAAGUGGCCAACAACAUUAGCAACAAUGUCCCACCGGUCACUUAUUGAGUAUUGACUAUAAAAAAAUGUUGGAUAUGUUAAUAACUCUUUUUAUGUAAUUAUCCACUGGGUUCUGAAAUGCUCGCCUUUUGUGUCUGGCAGGGCCGUGUUGUGGAGAUAUAUGGUCCAGAAGCUUCUGGAAAAACUACACUUGCUCUUCAUGUUAUUGCAGAAGCACAGAAGAACGGAGGUAAUGUUGUUUGGACUUCUUGCAAUCUGACAUGCUUCCUUUGAGUAAUGUUCUGCAUAUUUCUGAAACAGUUGGUAGUCUUUAAUAAACAAUUUAGAGAGAAAUAUGCAGUAGUUGGCAUGAUCGUCAAUAAAAAAAGUUAGUGCAUAUUGCUGAAACAGUUGAAUUGUAUGUUGAUAAUCAUGCCUCUGAAAGAAUUAAUUUUAUCACCGCACAACUUAUUGUGGUGCAUGGGGCAGGGGAAUACAUAAAAAGCACUCUCUUAUAAAGAGUAACUUAAACAUCCUUAGGUGAUCGUGGUAUUUCGAAUAUCUCAAACACUUCAUAUUUAAUCUAUCCUGCAUGCACUAACUUUCUAGAUUUGUUUUAUUUUACAGGUUAUUGUGCUUUCAUAGAUGCAGAGCAUUCUCUGGAUCCAGCGUUGGCAAAGGUUAUUGGUGUUAACACUGAUAAUUUUCUUGUUUCACAGCCAGAUUGUGGUGAGCAGGCACUUAGUCUCGUCGAUACUCUAGUUAGGAGUGGCUCAGUUGAUGUUGUGGUUGUAGACAGUGUAAGUCGUAAAGGACUCUGAGUUGUUACUUAAAGAUAUCUGCUUCUUUCCUUUUUCUAUUUCUUGAACCUAGAGAUGGAUUUUGCAUCAUGGUCUAAUUGUUAUAGUUUGUCAGACAUGAAGUCUUGCAUUCAACUGAUGAUCUAUGCAUGGGAUUCUGUAACAUACAUAUCUUGUAUAAACUGUAAAGUGAAAUAUCUUCCUGCUAAUUACAUUCUCAUCGAUCUUGAGUCUGCAUAUUCAAGUUAUUGUGGACACUGCAAUGGUGGACAAAUCUAGAAGUAUUUUGAUAGCCGAAAAUUUUGAAGUUUAAAAAUUUAAAAAUAGUUGUUAAAAUAUGUUGAUAACCUUUUGCCCUUGAUUUUCUUCUGGAGUUCAGGUGGCCGCCCUCGUACCUAAAACUGAACUUGAUGGUGAAAUGGGAGAUUCCCAUGUGGCACUCCAAGCAAGGUUGAUGAGCCAAGCUCUUCGCAAGUUGACCCAUUCACUUUCCCAGUCGCAGACACUCUUGUUAUUUAUUAAUCAGGUAAGUUUUAAACACAUGCAAGCAAGUUUUCAGCUAUAUUUGCUCAGAGUUUCUCUUGUAUGUAAUUGAUAUAAAAGCUUCAUAAAUUUAAGAAUUGAACUUGAGCCUCAACGCCACCAAUUCUCUGGAGGCUUUUUUUCUUUGUUUGGGCCUACUUGGAUAUAAUUUUUUGUAUGUGUCAUUUACAAAAAAUUGUUUUUCCUACUUCAUCAUGGCUGCAUUAUCUGAAGGAUAAUUCUAAUACAGGCUAAGCAGUUGAUUCCAGUUUUCAUACAUGGUAAUGAUAAAUAGUCACAAGUUAUAUUUUUUUGGUUUGUAUUUAUCCAUAGCUUUCUGUGCUGUCAAAUUGAUGAUGGUAUUUUGAGUUAUGGAUUUUUGAUACUACACUGGAUUUUGGCUCCUGCUUCAUGAAUUUGUUGACAGCCAUUAGCAAUCAGUUGAUGUACCUAAGUGACAUGAACAAAAAGAAAAUUUGUUUGAUUAUACCCACCUUGACUUUGUAUUUUUGGGUUUAGUUGAGAAAAUUGCAAGCUCAAUGAAGCAUUGAAAAUCAUUAAUUGAAUGACUGAUUCAUACGGCAACACUGCAAUGAAAUGAAGCUAUGCGCUGGUCUUAUUGCCACGAUUUGUCUUUGUAAACAUGUAACAUGGUAUAUGCAGGACACUCAUAAAAUACCUACAUUGGUUCCGGUGAAUUUCUGAUAUUUUUCCAUUGCCACACACAGCAAAAGUUUGGAACCUGAGAUGCAUUUACUAAAUUCUUGGUCUGUCCUCCCAUUUUUGUAGGUUAGAGCAACUAUGAAGACAUUUGGAUUUGGUGGGUCAACAGAAGUGACCUCUGGCGGCAAUGCCUUAAAGUUCUAUUCAUCUGUUCGCCUUAAUGUCAGAAAAUUUGGCUUGGUUAAAAAAGGCGACGAGGUAUUAUAAUUACACAAAGUUCAAUUGCCAUACUGAUUGUAGUUUCACUAAACAUUUUGUCCAGAACUGGAUUUGCCAUAAAAUUCUAAUUAAUCACGGUGAGUUCUAGAAAUGCACACUUGAGAGUUUCUGUAUGGUUUUAACUUGUGGAGUGGGAAGUCUUUGCCAUCGUUAUAUUUGUUAUAACCCUUUCAUUUGUGAAAAGCUAGGCUUUAGUUCAAAAGUAAUUGUUUUCUCAUCGGACAUAUCAUGAUUGACAUUGUGGCAGACUUUGGGGAGCAAUGUCCUGGUGAAUAUUGUGAAGAAUAAACAUGCCCCUCCAUUUAAGACAGCACAUUUUGAGCUCGAGUUUGGCAAGGGGAUCUCCCGUGAGUCAGAGAUGGUAGAACUAGGUUGCAAGCAUGACUUUAUCACAAAACGUGGUGCUGUCUAUGGUUUUGACGGAAAGAGCUUCCGUGGAAAAGAUGCCCUUAAACGCUAUCUCAUGGAGAAUCAGGGGGUCCAAGAAGAACUAACGAUGAAGCUGAGGGAGAAAUUAUGGAACAACAAUGCUGAUAACACAGAUGGAGCAUCUGAUGCAGCAGAUGACACUGUUGCCAUUGUAUGAUGUGUCGUCAUUUUGUACAAGGGUUUGGGCUUUUCUUGCAGACCAUGCUCAGCUGGAAAUGAAAUCCAAAGAUGGUGAUCGAUUGGUAUCUGUAAUUGAUCUUGUCCAGUGUAGUGGACUAAGCUUUUGAUUCUGGAAGUUUGGAGGACAUGGUGGCAUCAGAGAGAAAAGUCCAGAUUUGUAAUGGUCAUAUGGAACUACUCUUUGCUUCGUACUUUACUAUUUUUCAGAUUUAUGAUUAUAUGCAAAGAUUGCGUAGCAAAGUGAUUUUGUAGGAGUCAUCGGAGAUAAUGCAUGUGAUUUUGUAAUGGUCAUAUGGAACCUGAGAUAAUGCAUGUGAUUUUGUAGGAGUUAUCUUGUGAAAAGCUUUUCUGGCAGCAAUCGUAUGUAUCCCUGAAUUCAUCAGUUUUCUAGGUUUUUUUAGAAACUUAUCGUGGGAUUUCAAUAAAUGACACCAGCUUUGUGUUAUUUUAAAAUCAUUUUAUUUCCUUUAAUCUCCAUUUGUUUUUAUUCGUUCUUGAUACUUAAGAUUAAUUUUUAUUUGCUGUAUUGUUGCGUUGAAAUAUUGUGAUUUGAAGUAUUGUUCCAUGUCUUCUAUUUGUAUGUAUGUACGUAUUUAUUUUUCCUCUCGAAGCGAAAAGUUCUCCUUCGGAUCUCCCAAAGAUUUUGUUUGAUGCGUCGGCCGGAAACACGUGAACCAAUCGGUUGAGGACUAAUUCGGCGCCGACUCGGUCAACAUGGGGAAAACAGAUGCACGCACCUCGACGAUCAAUUCCAAAGAAAAACCGCCGCCUAACUCCACGGCUCGCUUUGACCUCGUCGGCAAAGCGAAGCGUUAGAAACGUGGGGGCAACCGUUUCAACCCACCCGGGUCAUGUUCUCUCACCCCAGCAGGAUCCAUCGCUUCGUUCUCCACAAGGACGAUUGAUUGACCCACACCGCACAACAUAUGAAGCAUCUUCUUUCUUCCUUCCAGAAAGAAGCGACAAAAAUACUUUCGGGACCCACAACUUGCGAGGUGGAGGAACGAUGUCUCCUGCCCCGGCCAAGACAUGGGAACUCUACCGUAAAGACUACAUAGUGAUGCCAGCCGGCGACGCGCAAGAGACACCACAAUUGAUAUGCUAGUGCGCCUUCUUCCUUCUUUCCCCUCUCUCUCUCUCUCUCUCUCGCGNNNNNNNNNNNNNNNNNNNNNNNNNNNNNNNNNNNNNNNNNNNNNNNNNNNNNNNNNNNNNNNNNNNNNNNNNNNNNNNNNNNNNNNNNNNNNNNNNNNNNNNNNNNNNNNNNNNNNNNNNNNNNNNNNNNNNNNNNNNNNNNNNNNNNNNNNNNNNNNNNNNNNNNNNNNNNNNNNNNNNNNNNNNNNNNNNNNNNNNNNNNNNNNNNNNNNNNNNNNNNNNNNNNNNNNNNNNNNNNNNNNNNNNNNNNNNNNNNNNNNNNNNNNNNNNNNNNNNNNNNNNNNNNNNNNNNNNNNNNNNNNNNNNNNNNNNNNNNNNNNNNNNNNNNNNNNNNNNNNNNNNNNNNNNNNNNNNNNNNNNNNNNNNNNNNNNNNNNNNNNNNNNNNNNNNNNNNNNNNNNNNNNNNNNNNNNNNNNNNNNNNNNNNNNNNNNNNNNNNNNNNNNNNNNNNNNNNNNNNNNNNNNNNNNNNNNNNNNNNNNNNNNNNNNNNNNNNNNNNNNNNNNNNNNNNNNNNNNNNNNNNNNNNNNNNNNNNNNNNNNNNNNNNNNNNNNNNNNNNNNNNNNNNNNNNNNNNNNNNNNNNNNNNNNNNNNNNNNNNNNNNNNNNNNNNNNNNNNNNNNNNNNNNNNNCCUCUCUCUCUCUCUCUCUCGCUGGCACACGGUCAGUCAAAGCCCGUCCCCCUUUCCCGCAACCUUUGUUAUAAAGACACCUCUCUCACCCUCUCUCUUACGCCCCAUCGAGAGCGAGGAGAUCAAGAAGAGCGAGGAAGAGGAAGGCCGACUUCCAUCCAUCGCUUCGUCCCGUCUCCUCGUGUCUCACUCUUCCUGCCUCCUCCCCCUCUUUUCUUCUUUCUACUACUACUACCUAGAGAAAAGAAAGAAAGCUCACAUCUAACACACCAGAUGGCUCGCUCUCUCUCGGGUGCUGCUGCUCUCGCGGCAUCUCUCUCCGACAGCAUCACCCUCUUCGUGAACAGGUAGGAUCAUCAUCAUCAUCAUCUCUUUCUCUCUCUCUCUCUCUCUCUCUCUAUCAAUCUAUCUAUCUAUACAUCUAUCUAUCUAUCUAUAUCAUACAUGGAUGAACCUUUGGACCCAUACUUACCUCUGUUCUGUUUUGUCUCCUACAGGCGGGGAUACGCUGCAGCAGCGGCGGCUGUGGGAAGACCGGCGGAAAAGAAAACGGUGGUGCGGAAGGUGGUCGACUCCUCGACUGC